GCUGAUUCUUGUCACAUUUGAAAGAAAUUAAAACCCAAGGACCAAUGUGUAAAUGGCGCUGAGAUGCAGGGGUUCAAUUACAAUUUAUCCAAGGACUGGACUGCAAAAGUUCAAAAUGUGAAGGAUCAAAACACAAAAAAAGGGUGCCGUUUCUCAACACUGUUCAUCUUCUUCGGCGCCUCAGCUGCCCACCGCCACCAUUACUCCUGCAAUAACAGUCGAUUUAUUACCUGGUAACGGUGGAAUUCUGUGGCUAUAAAGCCAGAGAAAACAAAGAACGCGCGAGAAAAAGGGAGGAAAAAGCGACGAACGGGAGGAAAAAGGGAAAAACUGUGAGCGACCGAAAAUGGGCGGAAAAAAAUCCAGGAGACAGAGAGGGGGGGAAGACAAAAGAAACCACAGAAGCGGAGAAGAAAGAAACCAAGGAAAAACUGGGAAAAGAAGCUGAAACCCAGACGGAAAAAAAACCAG
Molecule: long non-coding RNA, 471 nt
Filed under: Populus trichocarpa (black cottonwood)
Lineage: Eukaryota; Viridiplantae; Streptophyta; Magnoliopsida; Malpighiales; Salicaceae
Description: long non-coding RNA (PTRI_LNC004345)
Source: RNAcentral